UUUCGUAGCCAAUCAUGAUCAUGACCGGAAGUGGACUGGUUAAAGCGAUAAAAUUUCAGAACAUUGGGGGCAUUUUGAAUAUCGAUUUCUUCCUCGUUUUCAAUCACACACCUUCCUCAUUCUCGAUCUCCAUCUCCUAUCGUCGAGAAGCAAUGAAGAAAAGGCACUAGAUCAUGGCAAGCGGACAUUAGUGCUCGUCGGUGGUCAUAGAGGAUGUGUCAUCUUUUCGUUGGUGUUCAUCGACGGUGUGCGAUGACAGCUACUAUGUUGAGGAUUCACAAGAUUAUUCCCGGUCAUGUCUGCCAGAGCAUGUCUUCUUCCUCUACCCCCCCCCCAACAUUUGACCACUGUUCCAGUCUGAUGGGCCUAUGGCUAGAGCACAGCUUUCAUUUGUCUGGAUAAUUUUUUCUGCUUGAUGUCGUGCUACUGUUUGAUGAAAUGCUUUAGAAUCUGUUAGAUGUUCAAUUCUCAUCUAAAGGUUAUUGGGGAUGGACAUCUAAAUGAAUGCCUAUAUUACAACCCUUGGUGGAGAGCAUAGGCUCAGUUUGUGUAUAUAGUUUUUCUGCUUGAUGCCAUGCUACUGUUCAACGAAAUGCCUUUCGAAAUUUGUUGGAUGAUGGUUUUAACUAUCUCUAUUUUUUUCUGAGCAAUUAUAUCUAUAUCAAUUUUGGAUGGAUAACUACACAUGGGUUGAAAUGAUUUUUGUAGGAUCUGGCUUGCUCGAGCAAAUGUUGGGUUUGAGCGUUUAGCCUUAUAAAGAUGUGAUGUAGACUUGGCAUAGUCAUUCAAUGGCUCUACCAACAAAUAUGAUGUAGAUUUGGCUAUGCUUAUCUCUUAUUUAUUCUAUAUUUUGUUUCUACUUUGAGUAGAAGAAGUGC
RNAcentral lists this long non-coding RNA (878 nucleotides) under Elaeis guineensis (African oil palm). Its description in RNAcentral is "long non-coding RNA (EGUI_LNC073497)". The record is from RNAcentral. Lineage: Eukaryota; Viridiplantae; Streptophyta; Magnoliopsida; Arecales; Arecaceae.